Molecule: non-coding RNA, 65 nt
Organism: Anoplophora glabripennis (Asian longhorned beetle)
Lineage: Eukaryota; Metazoa; Arthropoda; Insecta; Coleoptera; Cerambycidae
Source: the annotation of a RefSeq genome assembly
AAGGAUUUAAGUUAACUAAACUAUCAACCUUCAAAGUUGAAAAUAGAAUAAUAUUCUAAGUCUUA